AAAUUAUUACCAUCACAUAUAAUAAAAUAUAUAUAUAUAAUAUUACUAUUUACCUUGUUCCUCAAGUUUCUUUCCAAACUUCCGGCGAACAUUUUCUUUUAUUCCAGAUUUUGAUCGGAAGUUAUCAAGCAUGAUGACCCGUGGAGCAACAAGGAUGACACGAGUUGUCAUGGGUCAUAUGGGUACACGUUACUUUUCAACUACAGUUCUGCGAAAUAAUCCCGGGACCGGAGUUGUUGGUGGAGUCGCUGCCGGACUUUUGCAUGGUUUUCCGGCGAAUCCAUCGGAGAAAGUGGCAGUAACGUGGGUUAGGCAUUUUUCGGCGAUGGGUUCACGGAGCGCUAGUACUGCGGCUUUGAAUGAUAAGCAACAAGAGAAGGAAAGUAGUGACAAAAAAGUGGAGAACACCGCCACCGCCGCUGUAAACGGUGGUGUUGGUAAAUCUGUGGUGAGUUAUUGGGGUGUUCCUCCUUCAAAGGCUACUAAACCAGAUGGUACUGAAUGGAAAUGGAAUUGUUUUAGGCCAUGGGAGACUUAUGAAGCUGAUAUGUCGAUAGAUCUGACGAAACACCAUGCGCCUGUAACGUUUUUGGAUAAAUUUGCUUAUUGGACUGUUAAGAUCCUUCGUUUCCCCACUGAUGUAUUUUUUCAGAGGAGAUAUGGUUGCAGAGCAAUGAUGUUAGAGACAGUGGCGGCGGUGCCUGGAAUGGUGGGAGGUAUGUUGUUGCAUUGUAAGUCAUUGAGGCGAUUCGAACAGAGUGGUGGAUGGAUCAAAGCUCUGUUAGAAGAAGCUGAAAACGAGAGGAUGCAUUUGAUGACUUUCAUGGAAGUUGCAAAGCCAAAUGUAUACGAACGUGCUCUGGUUUUCGCAGUGCAAGGCGUCUUCUUCAACGCUUACUUUGCUGCAUACCUUAUCUCCCCAAAAUUGGCUCAUCGUAUCGUUGGAUAUUUGGAAGAAGAGGCUGUGCAUUCGUACACCGAGUUCCUCAAGGAAUUGGACAAUGGUAACAUUGAGAACGUUCCUGCUCCCGCUAUUGCUAUUGAUUACUGGCGAUUGCCUAAGGAUGCCACUCUCCGCGAUGUUGUCUUGGUUGUUAGGGCUGAUGAGGCUCAUCAUCGCGAUGUCAACCACUAUGCAUCUGACAUUCAUUACCAAGGACAACAGCUGAAGGACUCACCAGCACCACUUGGGUAUCACUAAGCGACUAAUAAUAAAUACAAAGAUAUGACUUAUCAAGCUAAAAGUUCGUCACUAUUUUGUUCCUUUUUUGAACUGGUAAUAGAGAUAUGUAGUAGGUAUUACUAAUCUCGAAUGUUGAUGUACAUAUUUUUGUGUGGAUUUGGUUCGUUCUUUGCUGCCUCUUCAUCGAUAAGAGGAUCAAAAUUAGGACGUAAUAACAAAAGAAGAUAAUUGCGGUUGUGGGAGAUUUGAGGUCCAUAAGUUUAAGUAUCCCUUUCUGAACUUUGUGAAACUCCAUUGAAGCUCCAACUUUGGAUAUUUCUUUUUAUACCGGCAGGCAGCUGAAAUAUGAGAUCUUUUUUAUGGUUAGGAAUGAAUGUGAUUCGAGUAGAAGUAAGCAAUACAUGCUCAAUUUUGAAGGUUGUGAAUUGGCUGCUUCGUCUACCUUUAUGAAAGCUUGAUAAAAGAAGAAUCUUUGCAUCAGUUUCCGAUGAAAUGUUAAGAGACAUAAUAGAAGAGCAAAGAGACGAGCUAUGAAUACUUGUGGGAAUACACUGGAUAUGUUGACAAUUACUACUUUCAGGGGGUUUAUAGAUCCAAUUAUCGGAUUGGGAGAAGAGAUCAAUGGUAGGAAUCAGCAACUACAACGGGUUGUUUGUGAAGGCGUUGUAUGGUUUAUGGGAAUAUGACACCACAUGAUCUGCAGUUGAAGCUAGAGUUAUUCAUGAUCUUGAACUAAUAGAUGCUCCUCUCUAUUGGGGAAAUUGAUCGCGAUAUCUCAUCAAGAAAUGACAGAUUUUUAUUUCUCCAUUGAUUGGGAUGAUGAUUUUUACAACAUAAAACAAUCUUUGCUCCCAUUUAUUACACAAGAUUUGAAGCUGAAAGAAGAAAUAGUGUCAUUCACAAUAAUGCUUGAAUUCUUAGAGAUUAUUGAUGAUGUUGAACUAAUAAAUCCUCCUUUCUUUGGGGGAAAUUAUACGUUGAACUAGGGAAAUAAUCGCGAUAUCUCACCAAGAAUAUUCAACAGGUUUUUGUUCUCUAUUGAUUGGGAUGAGGAUUUCAACAACCAUAAUACAAUCCAAGUUGUAUUUUUAGUUUGAUAAUUGGUGGCUUGAGGCGGCCUUCAACAUUAACCUACGCGUUGAAGGAUCCACAAAAAAAAUGGAGGGCUAAGUGUAGUUCUUUUGAGGUCCAAGGCAAGACUUGAUUACAUUUUAGCUUUGCUAAUUGAGAUUGUUGAAAUCAAAACUGAAUAUUGAAAGUCA
Molecule: RNA transcript, 2445 nt
Organism: Solanum pennellii
Lineage: Eukaryota; Viridiplantae; Streptophyta; Magnoliopsida; Solanales; Solanaceae
Gene name: ubiquinol oxidase 2, mitochondrial
Exons: 5
Source: RefSeq, a predicted model, not a curated record